Molecule: long non-coding RNA, 359 nt
Filed under: Pan troglodytes (chimpanzee)
Lineage: Eukaryota; Metazoa; Chordata; Mammalia; Primates; Hominidae
Description: long non-coding RNA NONPTRT013509
Source: RNAcentral
GACUGGGCUGAGUUUGUGGCGCGCUUAGUGAUGGGAGGGCGCUGUGCAGGACGCCGACACGAAAAGAUGAAGAGUUCAAUCCGUGCUGUCUGAACUCACAGUGUAGCGGGCGAGAUAGACGGGAAGAUCGGUAGGGUGGGAGAUGCCGGAAAGGCUUCCCGUGAAACUGGAUAAGAAAUCAAAAAUCUGGUGAAAUUGCCGGCAGGAGGGAGUUAAGGACAUUCCAGGCAGAGGCAAGUUAAGAAUUUAAAAGCUGCCCAAUCGCUGCUGGCCCAAAAGUCUCGUCUUAUACAAUAACAUGAGAGAAAGGGUGCUGAUCCAUCAUUAUUCACUCCACGUGGGACCAUAAUGGAUUUUUC